This 163-nucleotide small RNA is filed under the name Frankia sp. Its description in RNAcentral is "c-di-AMP sequence". It matches the Rfam family "c-di-AMP riboswitch aptamer (ydaO/yuaA leader)". Rfam says of the family: This family represents a conserved RNA structure found upstream of the ydaO and yuaA genes in Bacillus subtilis and related genes in other bacteria. The ydaO/yuaA element is thought to act as a genetic "off" switch for the ydaO and yuaA genes in its native state. Lineage: Bacteria; Bacillati; Actinomycetota; Actinomycetes; Frankiales; Frankiaceae. RNAcentral also lists the same sequence under 1 other name. The record is from RNAcentral.
UGACUCCCUCCGACGAGCAUCUGAGGCAGGAACGGGGGACCCAUGUUUCUCUGGGCGUCGCCUCCUCGGCGCCCUUGGGGCGAAGCCGGACACGCAUGAGGCGUUCGGCCGGGCUCCCAGCCCGAACCCGACAGCUCACCUCGCAGGCGUAGGGGAAGGACCA